CCUACGGGAGGCAGCAGUGGGGAAUAUUGCACAAUGGGGGAAACCCUGAUGCAGCAACGCCGCGUGAGCGAAGAAGGCCUUCGGGUCGUAAAGCUCUGUCCUAAGGGAAGAAGCAUGACGGUACCUUAGGAGGAAGCCCCGGCUAACUACGUGCCAGCAGCCGCGGUAAUACGUAGGGGGCGAGCGUUAUCCGGAAUCACUGGGCGUAAAGGGUGCGUAGGCGGCCAAUUAAGCCAGAGGUGAAAGGCUACGGCUCAACCGUAGUAAGCCUUUGGAACUGAAUGGCUUGUGUGCAGGAGAGGAGAGUGGAAUUCCUAGCGUUGCGCUCGACUGCAGAGACAUAAGUAGAUAAGCGAGUGGUGCAAGGUAGCCUCUGAACUGCAACUUAUGCCGAGCGACACAAAAGUGGUGAGCAAAAACCAUUAAUGGAAUCCCUACCC
RNAcentral lists this ribosomal RNA (440 nucleotides) under uncultured bacterium. RNAcentral describes it as "bacterial SSU rRNA". It matches the Rfam family "Bacterial small subunit ribosomal RNA", at positions 338 to 802 of the family's 1533-position model. The record is from RNAcentral.